CGGACGGGUGAGUAACGCUGGGUAACCUACCCUGUACACACAGAUAACAUACCGAAAGGUAUGCUAAUACGGGAUAAUAUAUUUGAGAGGCAUCUCUUGAAUAUCAAAGGUGAGCCAGUACAGGAUGGACCCGCGUCUGAUUAGCUAGUUGGUAAGGUAACGGCUUACCAAGGCGACGAUCAGUAGCCGACCUGAGAGGGUGAUCGGCCACAUUGGAACUGAGACACGGUCCAA
RNAcentral lists this ribosomal RNA (234 nucleotides) under uncultured bacterium. RNAcentral's name for it is "partial 16S ribosomal RNA". It matches the Rfam family "Bacterial small subunit ribosomal RNA", at positions 99 to 334 of the family's 1533-position model. The record is from RNAcentral.